GACGAACGCUGGCGGCAUGCCUAAUACAUGCAAGUCGAGCGAACAGAUGAAGUGCUUGCACUUCUGACGUUAGCGGCGAACGGGUGAGUAACACGUAAGGAAUCUACCUAUAAGCGGGGGAUAACAUUCGGAAACGGGUGCUAAUACCGCAUAAUAUCUUCUUCCGCAGGGAAGAAGAUUGAAAGACGGCUCUGCUGUCACUUAUAGAUGACCUUGCGGUGCAUUAGUUAGUUGGUGGGGUAACGGCCUACCAAGACGAUGAUGCAUGGCUGACCUGAGAGGGUGAUCGGCCACAUUGGGACUGAGACACGGCCCAAACUCCUACGGGAGGCAGCAGUAGGGAAUCUUCCGCAAUGGGCGAAAGCCUGACGGAGCAAUGCCGCGUGAGUGAAGAAGGCCUUCGUGUCGUAAAACUCUGUUAUAAGAGAAGAACAAAUUGUAGAGUAACUGCUACAGUCUUGACGGUAUCUUAUCAGAAAGCCACGGCUAACUACGUGCCAGCCGCCGCAGUAA
RNAcentral lists this ribosomal RNA (513 nucleotides) under uncultured bacterium. RNAcentral describes it as "partial 16S ribosomal RNA". It matches the Rfam family "Bacterial small subunit ribosomal RNA", at positions 28 to 523 of the family's 1533-position model. The record is from RNAcentral.